Vicia faba (fava bean) is the source of this 207-nucleotide non-coding RNA. NCBI's taxonomy places the organism in Eukaryota, Viridiplantae, Streptophyta, Magnoliopsida, Fabales, Fabaceae. The record is from the annotation of a GenBank genome assembly.
AUGCUGUACAAGCUAGAGAAAAAGAUAUCUCUAACCAAAGCAAAAAUUCAUAAAAUGCAACGUGAUAUACAAACAAAAGAAGAUCUUAAAAUCGUAGCAUUGGGCACAUCCACGAUAAACUAUCUCGACCCCAAAAUUACAAUUGCCUGGUGCAAGCGGCAUGAGGUUCCCAUUGGGAAGGUGCUAAAUCAACAAUGUGUUUGGUAA